Molecule: non-coding RNA, 55 nt
Filed under: unclassified sequences
Description: Mu-gpT-DE RNA
Rfam family: Mu-gpT-DE RNA
Source: RNAcentral
CCUUGACAGUCGCAUGGUGUGGCUGACAGUUGCCUAGACAAGGAGAUUUGAAAUG